RNAcentral lists this ribosomal RNA (752 nucleotides) under Arthrobacter sp. ZD29. Its description in RNAcentral is "bacterial SSU rRNA". It matches the Rfam family "Bacterial small subunit ribosomal RNA", at positions 56 to 823 of the family's 1533-position model. The record is from RNAcentral. Lineage: Bacteria; Bacillati; Actinomycetota; Actinomycetes; Micrococcales; Micrococcaceae.
UGCAGUCGACGAUGAUCCCAGCUUGCUGGGGGAUUAGUGGCGAACGGGUGAGUAACACGUGAGUAACCUGCCCUUAACUCUGGGAUAAGCCUGGGAAACUGGGUCUAAUACCGGAUAUGACUCCUCAUCGCAUGGUGGGGGGUGGAAAGCUUUAUUGUGGUUUUGGAUGGACUCGCGGCCUAUCAGCUUGUUGGUGAGGUAAUGGCUCACCAAGGCGACGACGGGUAGCCGGCCUGAGAGGGUGACCGGCCACACUGGGACUGAGACACGGCCCAGACUCCUACGGGAGGCAGCAGUGGGGAAUAUUGCACAAUGGGCGAAAGCCUGAUGCAGCGACGCCGCGUGAGGGAUGACGGCCUUCGGGUUGUAAACCUCUUUCAGUAGGGAAGAAGCGAAAGUGACGGUACCUGCAGAAGAAGCGCCGGCUAACUACGUGCCAGCAGCCGCGGUAAUACGUAGGGCGCAAGCGUUAUCCGGAAUUAUUGGGCGUAAAGAGCUCGUAGGCGGUUUGUCGCGUCUGCCGUGAAAGUCCGGGGCUCAACUCCGGAUCUGCGGUGGGUACGGGCAGACUAGAGUGAUGUAGGGGAGACUGGAAUUCCUGGUGUAGCGGUGAAAUGCGCAGAUAUCAGGAGGAACACCGAUGGCGAAGGCAGGUCUCUGGGCAUUAACUGACGCUGAGGAGCGAAAGCAUGGGGAGCGAACAGGAUUAGAUACCCUGGUAGUCCAUGCCGUAAACGUUGGGCACUAGGUGU